GAGUUUGAUCCUGGCUCAGGACGAACGCUGGCGGCGUGCUUAACACAUGCAAGUCGAACGGGAUGAUUUAAGAGCUUGCUUUUAGAGAAUCUAGUGGCAAACGGGUGAGUAACACGUAGACAACCUGCCGACAGGAUGGGGACAACAUUCCGAAAGGAAUGCUAAUACCGAAUGAAGUCAGAGAAGGGCAUCCUUUUCUGAUGAAAGAUGGCCUCUAUUUAUAUUUAAGCUAUCACCUGUCGAUGGGUCUGCGUCUGAUUAGCUGGUUGGUGAGGUAACGGCUCACCAAGGCGACGAUCAGUAGCCGGUCUGAGAGGAUGAACGGCCACAUUGGGACUGAGACACGGCCCAGACUCCUACGGGAGGCAGCAGUGGGGAAUCUUCCGCAAUGGGCGCAAGCCUGACGGAGCAACGCCGCGUGAGUGAAGAAGGUCUUCGGAUCGUAAAGCUCUGUUGAUGGGGACGAACGUGCGAAGGGUGAAUAAUCCUUUGCAAUGACGGUACCUAUCGAGGAAGCCACGGCUAACUACGUGCCAGCAGCCGCGGUAAUACGUAGGUGGCGAGCGUUGUCCGGAAUCAUUGGGCGUAAAGGGAGCACAGGCGGGCAUGUAAGUCUUUCUUAAAAGUUCGGGGCUCAACCCCGUGAUGGGAAAGAAACUACAUGUCUUGAGUACAGGAGAGGAAAGCGGAAUUCCCAGUGUAGCGGUGAAAUGCGUAGAUAUUGGGAGGAACACCAGUGGCGAAAGGCGGCUUUCUGGACUGCAACUGACGCUGAGGCUCGAAAGCCAGGGGAGUGAACGGGAUUAGAUACCCCGGU
This 817-nucleotide ribosomal RNA is filed under the name uncultured bacterium. RNAcentral's name for it is "bacterial SSU rRNA". It matches the Rfam family "Bacterial small subunit ribosomal RNA", at positions 9 to 791 of the family's 1533-position model. The record is from RNAcentral.